RNAcentral lists this ribosomal RNA (305 nucleotides) under uncultured bacterium. Its description in RNAcentral is "bacterial SSU rRNA". It matches the Rfam family "Bacterial small subunit ribosomal RNA", at positions 337 to 658 of the family's 1533-position model. The record is from RNAcentral.
ACCUACGGGAGGCAGCAGUCGGGAAUAUUGCGCAAUGGAGGAAACUCUGACACAGUGACGCCGCGUGCAGGAAGAAGGUUUUCGGAUUGUAAACUGCUUUAGACAGGGAAGAAAAAAGACAGUACCUGUAGAAUAAGCUCCGGCUAACUACGUGCCAGCAGCCGCGGUAAUACGUAGGGAGCAAGCGUUAUCCGGAUUUACUGGGUGUAAAGGGCGAGUAGGCGGGAUUGCAAGUCAGAUGUGAAAACUAUGGGCUCAACCGAUAGAGUGCAUUUGAAACUGCAGGUCUUGAGUGAUGGAGAGGG